This 714-nucleotide ribosomal RNA is filed under the name uncultured bacterium. Its description in RNAcentral is "bacterial SSU rRNA". It matches the Rfam family "Bacterial small subunit ribosomal RNA", at positions 347 to 1072 of the family's 1533-position model. The record is from RNAcentral.
GGCUGCAGUGGGGAAUAUUGCACAAUGGGCGCAAGCCUGAUGCAGCAACGCCGCGUGAGGGACGAAGGCCUUCGGGUUGUAAACCUCUUUUAGUAGGGAAGAAGCGAAAGUGACGGUACCUGCAGAAAAAGCACCGGCUAACUACGUGCCAGCAGCCGCGGUAAUACGUAGGGUGCAAGCGUUAUCCGGAAUUAUUGGGCGUAAAGAGCUCGUAGGCGGUUUGUCGCGUCUGCUGUGAAAACUGGAGGCUCAACCUCCAGCCUGCAGUGGGUACGGGCAGACUAGAGUGCGGUAGGGGAGAUUGGAAUUCCUGGUGUAGCGGUGGAAUGCGCAGAUAUCAGGAGGAACACCGAUGGCGAAGGCAGAUCUCUGGGCCGUAACUGACGCUGAGGAGCGAAAGCAUGGGGAGCGAACAGGAUUAGAUACCCUGGUAGUCCAUGCCGUAAACGUUGGGAACUAGAUGUAGGGACCAUUCCACGGUUUCUGUGUCGCAGCUAACGCAUUAAGUUCCCCGCCUGGGGAGUACGGCCGCAAGGCUAAAACUCAAAGGAAUUGACGGGGGCCCGCACAAGCGGCGGAGCAUGCGGAUUAAUUCGAUGCAACGCGAAGAACCUUACCAAGGCUUGACAUAUACGAGAACGGGCCAGAAAUGGUCAACUCUUUGGACACUCGUAAACAGGUGGUGCAUGGUUGUCGUCAGCUCGUGUCGUGAGA